Molecule: ribosomal RNA, 512 nt
Filed under: uncultured Lentimicrobium sp.
Lineage: Bacteria; Pseudomonadati; Bacteroidota; Bacteroidia; Bacteroidales; Lentimicrobiaceae
Description: bacterial SSU rRNA
Rfam family: Bacterial small subunit ribosomal RNA
Source: RNAcentral
GUUUGAUCCUGGCUCAGGAUGAACGCUAGCGGCAGGCUUAAUACAUGCAAGUCGAACGGGAUUCGGGGUAGCAAUACUUUGAUGAGAGUGGCGCACGGGUGCGUAACGCGUAUGCAACCUACCUUUAACAGGGGAAUAGCCCCGAGAAAUCGGGAUUAAUACUCCGUAACAUUGCGGUGUGGCAUCACACUGCACUUAAAGCUGAGGCGGUUAAAGAUGGGCAUGCGUGACAUUAGCUAGUUGGUGAGGUAACGGCUCACCAAGGCAACGAUGUCUAGGGGUCCUGAGAGGGUUAUCCCCCACACUGGUACUGAGACACGGACCAGACUCCUACGGGAGGCAGCAGUAAGGAAUAUUGGUCAAUGGGCGCAAGCCUGAACCAGCCAUGCCGCGUGCAGGAAGACGGCCCUAUGGGUUGUAAACUGCUUUUGUCAGGGAAUAAUCCCCCGCUCGUGACCGGGGCUGAAGGUACCUGAAGAAUAAGCAUCGGCUAACUCCGUGCCAGCAGCCGC